This is an RNA transcript of Nomascus leucogenys (northern white-cheeked gibbon), 3616 nucleotides long. It is a transcript of the gene named serine/threonine-protein phosphatase 4 regulatory subunit 2-like, with no coding region annotated. The transcript is spliced from 2 exons. Lineage: Eukaryota; Metazoa; Chordata; Mammalia; Primates; Hylobatidae. The record is from RefSeq and is a predicted model, not a curated record.
AGUGUGUGCAAGGGAGUGGGAGGACAUCGGGGGUGGGGGGAGGCGUUCCGGUCCCCAAGAGACCCUCAGAGGGAGGUGGAGGCUGUGAGGGAGUCCAGGAAGCCAUGGAUUUUGAGAGGCUCCAGAAGGCGCUGGAAGAUUUUGAGAAGAGGGGGAAAAGGAAAGUUUGUCCUGUCCUGGAUCAGUUUCUUUGUCAUGUAGCCAAGACUGGAGAAACAUUCAGUGGUCCCAAUUUAAAGACUAUUUUAUUUUCAAACCAGAGAAAGUGAUGGAUGAUUUCAGAACUUCAGCUUCUGAGCCAAGAGGACCUCCCAACCCUAAUGUUGAAUAUAUUCCCUUUGAUGAAAUAAAGGAAAGAAUACAGAAAAUUGUCACUGGAUUUAAUGGUAUCCCUUUUACUAUUCAGCAACUAUGUGAAUUGUUAACAGAUCCAAGGAGAAACUAUACAGGAACAGACAAAUUUCUCAGAGGAGUAGAAAAGAAUGUGAUGGUUGUUAGCUGUGUUUAUCCUUCUUCAGAGAAAAACAAUUCCAACAGUUUAAAUCAAAUGAAUGGUGUUAUGUUUCCUGGAAAUGCACCAAGCUAUACUGAGAGGUCUACUAUAAAUGGGCCUGGGACAUCCAGGCCACUUAAUCGACCAAAGGUUUCUUUGUCAGCCCCCAUGACAACAAAUGGGUCGCCUGAGAGCACAGACAACAAAGAGGCAAAUUUGCAGCAAAAUGAAGAGAAAAAUCACAGAGACUCUUCGACAUCUGAAACAGAAGUUUCCUCAGUGAGCCCUUUGAAAAAUAAACAUCCAGAUGAAGAUGCUGUGGAAGCUGAGGGGCAUGAGGUAAAAAGACUCAGGUUUGACAAAAAAGGCGAAGUCAGAGAAACAGCCAGUGAAACGACUUGCAGCGAAAUUUCUUCAGUUAUGGUAGAAGAAACAGAAGCAUCAUCUUCAUCUCAGGAUAAAGACAAAGCCGUUGUACCCAGCAGCGCGUACAGAAGAGGAUGAAGAAGAGGAUGAAGAGGAAGAAGAAGAGUCUUUUAUGAUAUCAAGAGAAAUGAUCCCAGAAAGAAAAAAUCAGGAAAAAGAAUCUGAUGAUGCCUUAAGUGUGAAUGAAGAGACUUCUGAGGAAAAUAAUCAAAUGGAGGAAUCUGAUGUGUCUCAAGCUGAGACAGAUUUACUACAUUCUGAAGGUAAUGAAAACGAAGGCCCUGUAAGUAGUGGUUGACUACCAUGAAACAGAAGAAUUAGUAGGAUCCAAUUCCAGUAAAACUGGAGAGAUUCUUUCAGAAUCAUCCAUGGAAAAUGAUGACGAAGCCACAGAAGUCACCGAUGAACCAAUGGAACAAGACUAUUUAGAAACAUUUAGAUGCAGUAUUUCACAUACAGUUCCGAUUUUAACACCGUAUAAAACUUUUAUGUAAAAAAGUGGACCUUUAGUUUUACAAGAAAAGCAGGUUGUAAAAUAAAGUACUUUAUGGACAAUUCCUGAAAGAGUUGUACAUGUAAGAACUGUGAAUAUCAGCUCCUCUGGGUCCUGCUUACCUUACCGCUGAUUUUUUUCUUUCUUUCUUUCUUUUUUUUGGUCUGGGCAAAUCAGUGGUUUGUGUAUAGUUUUUUUUUUAAUUUAGGAUUGAAGCUUCUAAACUGGAAGGUAAUUAUAAUUUUGAAAAGAUUUUUGAGAUUAUCACAUUUAGUUUAUACAUGUGCAAGAAGCUUUUUCUCUUGUCUCUUUCUGAUAGCUCUAGCAGUUUUCAUAUUUUGGUCAUAGUUUCAACAUUUUAACAUGUGACUAAUAGGGUUUCAUGCUGGUUUACAGAUUUUAUUGUUCGGCUACAUACAAUGGAACUUUAAGUUUUAUAUAUAUAUAUUAUUCUAAGGGGGGAAAUGUUAUAUUUUUCUGUUUCUAUAAGAGAUGAAUACAGUGGAUACUUUUUCUAUUGGUAAUGAUUCAGUUCACCUCUUUCAGAAGACAUUUUCUUUCUCUUCUGAGUAACUGAAAUAAAAUCUGGCCUUUGUGAAACCCUGGAAAUCUUAAGUCUGUUGAAAUACCAGGUUAAACACAUUCCAAGAGAUCUGUUCAAACUCAAAUUCUUUUGUAUACUUCUGAGGUGCCUGAGAAAAAGACUUCAUUAUUUAUGAGAAAAUAUUCUUCAUUUUUGGAAAUUGUGUUCAAAUGUUAGCUUACUAUUUUGUAGAAUGAAUGUUUAUGAAGCUGAUAUGAGGCCAUCUCAGAAGAACCAAGCAGGUUCCUUGACCUUUUGCUUGCUUUUCUGAACACUGUGAAUAAUACACGUCUUUCUAAAUUAUUCUAGAGUAUGCAAAUGUCAACGGUAUGAAACACGACUGUACUGGAAAAGUUAAUAUAUUACUUUAGUAUGUACCUGAGCUAAAUGACUGAAACUUUAGGGGUGCAUAGAAACCACCAUAAUUUGUAUGACAUUUUGAAGUGAAUUAAAUAUUUUUGAACAUGAAAAAAAGAAAUAACUUUUUAUAGCUCUGCACGGGUCUAUUUUUCAAUUUAUAUUUUAUUUUACUAACUGACUGAAAAGACAUAUAUUGUGUGUGGUGUGUGAUUUUGUCUGUCAGGAUAAUCAUAGCUUAAUUUCUAUUAUUAUUAUACCAAUAUCAUUUAGUUUUUUUAAGCUUUUCAAUUCCUGAGGGUAUUAAUCAGGGUCUUUCUCUCUCCUGAGACAGAAAACAAAUCCAAACUGUGUAAGAGAAAAAGGAAUGCAUUGAUCCCAAGGACUGAGAAGCUCCCAGACUUAACUUGCUUGGGAUUCAGCUACAUGUACAGUUUCAAGUGGUGUCCUGAAACUCUCUCUACUUCCCCAACAUCGGCUCCGUGUUUGGCUCCACGAACUUCAGACUUAAAAAGCAUCACUGGCUCCUGACCAGGAUUCCAGCUCCACGAACCUCAAACUAGAACACCAGCCCGGCUUGUCCACAGGUCUCCAGCUCCAAAACCUAAGACAUCAGUGGCAGUACCUACUCCUCCUGGGGGCUCCAACUCUGAGACCCUCAGACUUGAACUGCAGCACCAGCUCUUCCCCAGAUCUCCAGCUCCACGACCCUCAACUAGAACACACCAGCUCCUCCCUGGGUCUCCAGCUCCACGACCCUCAACUAGAAACACACCACCUCCUCCCUGGGUCUCCAGCUCCACGACCCACAAACUAGAACCACACUGCUCCCCACUGUAUCUCCAGAUCCACGACCCUCAACUAAAAACACCAAUACCAGCUCCUCCGCGAGUUUCCAGCUCCACAACCUAAGACGUCAGAGGCAGCAUUGGCCCCUCACGUAGAUUCCAGCUCCGGGACCCUCACAUUUGAACCGCAGGACCAUCUCAUCCCUGCAUCUCCAGCUGCACAACACUCAAAUUAGAAUAACAUCAGCUCCUCCCCAGGUCUCCACCUGCACAGCCCUCGAAUGGGAACGUCAGCUCCUCCCUGGGCCUCCAGCUGCACAGCCCUAAAACUAGAACAUCAGCUCCCGCCCGGGUCGCCAGCUGCACCACCCUCAAACUGGAACAUCAGAUCCCCACGGGUCUCCAGCUGCAGGGCCUUCAAACUGGAACAUCAGCUCCCCACCGGGUCUCCAGCUGCCUGGCCCUCAAACUGGAAC